ACUGGGCGAGGUGGCGCCUGCCUGUAGUCCCAGCUACUCGAGAGGCUGAGGUGGGAGGAUCGCUUGAGCCCAGGAGUUCUGGGCUGUAGUGCGCUAUGCUGAUCCGAUGUCUGCACUAAGUUUGGCAACAAUAUGGUGACCUCCCAGGAGAAGGGGACCACCAGGUUGCCUAAGGAGGGGUGAACCGGCCCAGGUCAGAAAUGGAGCAGGUCAAAACUCCGGUGCUGAUCAGUAGGGGGAUCACACCUGUGAAUAGCCACUGCACUCCAGCCUGGGCAACAUAGUGAGACACCAUCUCU
RNAcentral lists this signal recognition particle RNA (299 nucleotides) under Cebus imitator (Panamanian white-faced capuchin). RNAcentral describes it as "Metazoan signal recognition particle RNA (ENSCCAG00000008825.1)". It matches the Rfam family "Metazoan signal recognition particle RNA". From Rfam's summary of the family: The signal recognition particle (SRP) is a universally conserved ribonucleoprotein. Lineage: Eukaryota; Metazoa; Chordata; Mammalia; Primates; Cebidae. The record is from RNAcentral.